AUGGCUUCUUCCGCCGCCGAGCGGCACUCCCCACUUCUUGCUCUGAUGCUUGUGACCGCCGUUCUUCUGCUCUCCUCCUUCUCUGCCCUCGCGGCCGCGGGGGGGCCGAGCGCCUCAGCUGGGCCAACCGCUGUCGCCGCCGGGCGCGCGCGGCAGGACUUCCACGUGGCGACGACGCCAUUGCACGAUGCAGGCGUGACCAAGAACGGCGCGGGGAGACGACCGGUCGGCGGGAGAAGGAGGAGGAGAGCAGACCGCGGGCGCGUACGCGGCGGAGGCACCGGCGCGUGGGCGUUCUCGGGGAUGCUGCCCCGGGGGUUCGUGCCGCCGUCGGGCUCGUCCGCCUGCCACAACGACAUGCCGGCCACCGCCGCCGAUGGACAGUUGUACACAUGCGGCAGCUCCGUGCGACCGUGA
RNAcentral lists this ribosomal RNA (417 nucleotides) under Triticum aestivum (bread wheat). RNAcentral's name for it is "partial small subunit ribosomal RNA". The record is from RNAcentral. Lineage: Eukaryota; Viridiplantae; Streptophyta; Magnoliopsida; Poales; Poaceae.